AUCACCUAGGGAUCUUGUUAAAAUGCAGAUUCUGAUGCAGUGAGUCAGAGACUCUGCAUUUCUAGUAAGCUUCUAAGUGGUCCAGA
RNAcentral lists this microRNA precursor (86 nucleotides) under Felis catus (domestic cat). RNAcentral's name for it is "mir-544 microRNA precursor family". It matches the Rfam family "mir-544 microRNA precursor family". Lineage: Eukaryota; Metazoa; Chordata; Mammalia; Carnivora; Felidae. The record is from Rfam by way of RNAcentral.